AUCGAGUCGUCACCAGGCCUUAGAGUUGAAGACUUUUGCAGAAGAGAAGAAGAAAGAGGCUCAUCAUUAUAAGAAGAAAACAUCUUCCCUAAAGAAAUCUCUAGAGGCGUCUGAGGCUCGAGCCCACGAGCAGGAGAUAGAGAAUGACAAUUUGCAGUCUGUGUUGGCUCGUGCUCCGGAGGAGGCAGUCGAGACGAAUAGGGCCUCUACUGAGUAUACUAGGGACUUAGAGGCAUCUGUGGAGCAAUAUAAGUCAUCGUCUGAUUAUGCCAGGGCCUUGCAUUUGUACAGGGGGAAGGUGAUGGCAACGUUCAUCAAAUUGACCAAUGAGUGGAUAUCGAUCAAGCACCCUUCUAUUGACCCCUCAGGUUUUGAUAAGUUCCUUGCACAGCGCAAGGGGAGGGAAAGUGGGGCGCAGCCAUCUAGGUCACUUGGUCAUUCGUUCACGGGGCGAUAGUAGUGGUGCUUCCCCUUCGAGUUGAAGCAUGACUUAGUAGUAGCACCUUUUGUGAGUGAC
This 517-nucleotide long non-coding RNA is filed under the name Olea europaea subsp. europaea. The record is from RNAcentral. Lineage: Eukaryota; Viridiplantae; Streptophyta; Magnoliopsida; Lamiales; Oleaceae.